RNAcentral lists this ribosomal RNA (253 nucleotides) under uncultured bacterium. Its description in RNAcentral is "partial 16S ribosomal RNA". It matches the Rfam family "Bacterial small subunit ribosomal RNA", at positions 524 to 776 of the family's 1533-position model. The record is from RNAcentral.
UACGUAGGGUGCGAGCGUUGUCCGGAAUUAUUGGGCGUAAAGAGCUCGUAGGCGGUCUGUCGCGUCUGCUGUGAAAACCCGAGGCUCAACCUCGGGCCUGCAGUGGGUACGGGCAGACUAGAGUGCGGUAGGGGAGAAUGGAAUUCCUGGUGUAGCGGUGAAAUGCGCAGAUAUCAGGAGGAACACCGGUGGCGAAGGCGGGUCUCUGGGCCGAUAUUGACGCUGAGGAGCGAAAGCGUGGGGAGCAAACAGG